This 253-nucleotide ribosomal RNA is filed under the name uncultured bacterium. Its description in RNAcentral is "partial 16S ribosomal RNA". It matches the Rfam family "Bacterial small subunit ribosomal RNA", at positions 524 to 776 of the family's 1533-position model. The record is from RNAcentral.
UACGUAGGGUGCAAGCGUUGUCCGGAAUUAUUGGGCGUAAAGAGCUCGUAGGCGGUUUGUCGCGUCUGCUGUGAAAACCCGAGGCUCAACCUCGGGCCUGCAGUGGGUACGGGCAGACUAGAGUGCGGUAGGGGAGACUGGAAUUCCUGGUGUAGCGGUGAAAUGCGCAGAUAUCAGGAGGAACACCGGUGGCGAAGGCGGGUCUCUGGGCCGUAACUGACGCUGAGGAGCGAAAGCGUGGGGAGCGAACAGG